Molecule: ribosomal RNA, 296 nt
Filed under: uncultured bacterium
Lineage: Bacteria
Description: partial 16S ribosomal RNA
Rfam family: Bacterial small subunit ribosomal RNA
Source: RNAcentral
AUUAUCCUACGGGAGGCAGCAGUGGGGAAUAUUGGGCAAUGGGCGCAAGCCUGACCCAGCAACGCCGCGUGAAGGAAGAAGGCCCUCGGGUUGUAAACUUCUUUUAUCAGGGACGAAACAAAUGACGGUACCUGAUGAAUAAGCCACGGCUAACUACGUGCCAGCAGCCGCGGUAAUACGUAGGUGGCAAGCGUUAUCCGGAUUUACUGGGUGUAAAGGGCGUGCAGCCGGAGAGACAAGUCAGAUGUGAAAGCCACGGGCUCAACCCGUGAACUGCAUUUGAAACUGUUUCCCUU